This is a non-coding RNA of Pelobates cultripes (western spadefoot toad), 670 nucleotides long. Lineage: Eukaryota; Metazoa; Chordata; Amphibia; Anura; Pelobatidae. The record is from the annotation of a GenBank genome assembly.
UAGAGGGAGUGGGGUAUAGUGACAGUAACAGAGGGAUUGAGGGCCUGCUCAGUGAGUUUACAUGUUAGAGGGAGUGGGGUAUAGUGACACAGUAACAGAGGGAUUGAGGGCCUGCUCAGUGAGUUUACAUGUUAGAGGGAGUGGGGUAUAGUGACAGUAACAGAGGGAUUGAGGGCCCUGCUCAGUGAGUUUACAUGUUAGAGGGAGUGGGGUAUAGUGACAGUAACAGAGGGAUUGAGGCCCUGCUCAGUGAGUUUACAUGUUAGAGGGAGUGGGGUAUAGUGACACAGUAACAGAGGGAUUGAGGGCCUGCUCAGUGAGUUUAUGCUAGAGGGAGUGGGGUAUAGUGACACAGUAACAGAGGGAUUGAGGGCCUGCUCAGUGAGUUUACAUGUUAGAGGGAGUGGGGUAUAGUGACAGUAACAGAGGGAUUGAGGGCCUGCUCAGUGAGUUUACAUGUUAGAGGGAGUGGGGUAUAGUGACACAGUAACAGAGGGAUUGAGGGCCCUGCUCAGUGAGUUUACAUGCUAGAGGGAGUGGGGUAUAGUGACACAGUAACAGAGGGAUUGAGGGCCUGCUCAGUGAGUUUACAUGUUAGAGGGAGUGGGGUAUAGUGACACAGUAACAGAGGGAUUGAGGCCCUGCUCAGUGAGUUUACAUGUUAGAGGGA